This 190-nucleotide microRNA precursor is filed under the name Oryza glumipatula. Its description in RNAcentral is "MIR812 microRNA precursor family". It matches the Rfam family "MIR812 microRNA precursor family". Lineage: Eukaryota; Viridiplantae; Streptophyta; Magnoliopsida; Poales; Poaceae. The record is from Rfam by way of RNAcentral.
AAAAAGUCAAACCCUGGAUUUUCGUGUCCAACUUUGACUGUCCGUCUUAUAUGAAUUUUUUUUAUAAUUUGUAUUUUUAUUGUUGUUAGAUGAUAAAACAUGAUUAAUAUUUUAUGCGUGACUUGUCUUUUUAAUUUUUUUCAUAAUUUUUUCAAAUAAGACGGACGGUCAAAUGUUGGACACAGAAACC